CCUACGGGUGGCAGCAGUGGGGAAUAUUGGGCAAUGGAGGCAACUCUGACCCAGCAACGCCGCGUGAGCGAUGAAGGUCUUCGGAUUGUAAAGCUCUGUCGCAAGGGACGAAGUAUGACGGUGCCCUGUAAGAAAGCCCCGGCAAACUACGUACGCGCAGCCGCGGUAAUACGUAGGGGGCUAGAGUUGUCCGGAAUUACUGGGCGUAAGGGGAGUGUGGACGGUUUGUCACGGUAAGGGGGAAAGCCUGCGGCUUAAACGCAGAAGUGCACUUAAAACUGACUCGCUAGAGUGCAGGAGAGGUGAGUGGAAUUCCUAGUGUAGCGGUGGAAUGCGUAGAUAUUAGGAGGAACACCAGAGGCGAAGGCGGCUCACUGGACUGUAACUGACGUUGAGGCUCGAAAGCGUGGGGAGCAAACAGGAUUAGAUACCCCAGUAGUC
This 441-nucleotide ribosomal RNA is filed under the name uncultured bacterium. RNAcentral's name for it is "partial 16S ribosomal RNA". It matches the Rfam family "Bacterial small subunit ribosomal RNA", at positions 338 to 795 of the family's 1533-position model. The record is from RNAcentral.